ACGUGGGUAACCUGCCCUAAGUGGGGGAUAACAUUUGGAACAGAUGCUAAUACCGCAUAAAACCUAACACCGCAUGGUGUAGGGUUGAAAGAUGGUUUCGGCUAUCACUUUAGGAUGGACCCGCGGUGCAUUAGUUAGUUGGUGAGGUAAAGGCUCACCAAGACCGUGAUGCAUAGCCGACCUGAGAGGGUAAUCGGCCACACUGGGACUGAGACACGGCCCAGACUCCUACGGGAGGCAGCAGUAGGGAAUCUUCCACAAUGGACGAAAGUCUGAUGGAGCAACGCCGCGUGAGUGAAGAAGGUUUUCGGAUCGUAAACUCUGUUGUUGGAGAAGAAUGUAUCUGAUAGUAACUGAUCAGGUAGUGACGGUAUCCAACCAGAAAGCCACGGCUAACUACGUG
This 403-nucleotide ribosomal RNA is filed under the name uncultured bacterium. Its description in RNAcentral is "bacterial SSU rRNA". It matches the Rfam family "Bacterial small subunit ribosomal RNA", at positions 115 to 507 of the family's 1533-position model. The record is from RNAcentral.